GGACUACCCGGGUAUCUAAUCCUGUUUGCUCCCCACGCUUUCGCGCCUCAGCGUCAGUACCGGACCAGGUCGCCGCCUUCGCCACCGGUGUUCUUCCCAAUAUCUACGAAUUUCACCUCUACACUGGGAAUUCCACGACCCUCUUCCGAACUCAAGUCCGCACGUAUCAAACGCAGCCCCCAGGUUGAGCCCAGGAAUUUCACGUCUGACUAUGCAAACCGCCUACGCGCCCUUUACGCCCAGUCAUUCCGAGCAACGCUAGCCCCCUUCGUAUUACCGCGGCUGCUGGCAC
RNAcentral lists this ribosomal RNA (292 nucleotides) under uncultured bacterium. Its description in RNAcentral is "partial 16S ribosomal RNA". The record is from RNAcentral.